RNAcentral lists this ribosomal RNA (309 nucleotides) under Helicobacter pylori. RNAcentral's name for it is "bacterial SSU rRNA". It matches the Rfam family "Bacterial small subunit ribosomal RNA", at positions 272 to 602 of the family's 1533-position model. The record is from RNAcentral. Lineage: Bacteria; Pseudomonadati; Campylobacterota; Epsilonproteobacteria; Campylobacterales; Helicobacteraceae.
UCGUAUGACGGGGAUCCGGCCUGAGAGGGUGAACGGACACACUGGAACUGACACACGGUCCAGACUCCUACGGGAGGCAGCAGUAGGGAAUAUUGCUCAAUGGGGGAAACCCUGAAGCAGCAACGCCGCGUGGAGGAUGAAGGUUUUAGGAUUGUAAACUCCUUUUGUUAGAGAAGAUAAUGACGGUAUCUAACGAAUAAGCACCGGCUAACUCCGUGCCAGCAGCCGCGGUAAUACGGAGGGUGCAAGCGUUACUCGGAAUCACUGGGCGUAAAGAGCGCGUAGGCGGGAUAGCAGCAGGUUAAAACC